AGUGAACGCUGGCGGUAGGCCUAACACAUGCAAGUCGAACGGCAGCACAGUAAGAGCUUGCUCUUACGGGUGGCGAGUGGCGGACGGGUGAGGAAUACAUCGGAAUCUACUUUUUCGUGGGGGGUAACGUAGGGAAACUUACGCUAAUACCGCAUACGACCUACGGGUGAAAGCAGGGGAUCUUCGGACCUUGCGCGAUUGAAUGAGCCGAUGUCGGAUUAGCUAGUUGGCGGGGUAAAGGCCCACCAAGGCGACGAUCCGUAGCUGGUCUGAGAGGAUGAUCAGCCACACUGGAACUGAGACACGGUCCAGACUCCUAAGGGAGGCAGCAGUGGGGAAUAUUGGACAAUGGGCGCAAGCCUGAUCCAGCCAUACCGCGUGGGUGAAGAAGGCCUUCGGGUUGUAAAGCCCUUUUGUUGGGAAAGAAAAGCAGCAGGUUAAUACCCCGCUGUUCUGACGGUACCCAAAGAAUAAGCACCGGCUAACUUCGUG
Molecule: ribosomal RNA, 492 nt
Filed under: uncultured bacterium
Lineage: Bacteria
Description: partial 16S ribosomal RNA
Rfam family: Bacterial small subunit ribosomal RNA
Source: RNAcentral